RNAcentral lists this long non-coding RNA (528 nucleotides) under Homo sapiens (human). The record is from RNAcentral. Lineage: Eukaryota; Metazoa; Chordata; Mammalia; Primates; Hominidae.
GUGUGGUAUGUGCAAGGGAGGAGCCAAGAUGGCCGAAUAGGAACAGCUCCGGUCUACAGCUCCCAGCGUGAGCGACGCAGAAGACGGGUGAUUUCUGCAUUUCCAUCUGAGGUACCGGGUUCAUCUCACUAGGGAGUGCCAGACAGUGGGCGCAGGCCAGUGUGUGCGUGCACCGUGCGCGAGCCGAAGCAGGGCAAGGCAUUGCCUCACCUGGGAAGCGCAAGGGGUCAGGGAGUUCCCUUUCCGAGUCAAAGAAAGGGGUGACAGACGCACCUGGAAAAUCGGGUCACUCCCACCCGAAUAUUGCGCUUUUCAGACCGGCUUAAAAAACGGCGCACCACGAGACUAUAUCCCACACCUGGCUCAGAGGGUCCUACGCCCACGGAAUCUCACUGAUUGCUAGCACAGCAGUCUGAGAUCAAACUGCAAGGCGGCAACGAGGCUGGGGGAGGGGCGCCCACCAUUGCCCAGGCUUGCUUAGGUAAACAAAGCAGCUGGGAAGCUCGAACUGGGUGGAGCCCACCACAG